This is a long non-coding RNA of Rhipicephalus sanguineus (brown dog tick), 166 nucleotides long. RefSeq lists it as uncharacterized. NCBI's taxonomy places the organism in Eukaryota, Metazoa, Arthropoda, Arachnida, Ixodida, Ixodidae. The transcript is spliced from 2 exons. The record is from RefSeq and is a predicted model, not a curated record.
UUGGUCUAUUACGCUGACAUCCAUUUCUUCCUCGGCGUGCCAACAAGACGUCGGGUGAAGACUUCGAGGGCUCGGCGCCUUACAGACGCAACACAAGGACCACCCAUUGGCACUGGAGAUUUUACGAAGGGAUAAAAGCAAUGCUCAUGCAGAAAUACAGAGUAAU